GGGUCAGUAGGUUGGUCGUGCCACCGGUACGUACUGGUCUCACUGAUUCCUCCUUCCUGAAGAACCGUGAUGCCAUUAAUUUGGUGUUGCGGGGAAACAGGACUUUUACUUUGAAAAAAUUAGAGUGUUUAAAGCAAGCUAACGCUUAAAUACAUUAGCAUGGAAUAAUGAAAUAGGACGAUCGAUCCUAUUUUGUUGGUUUCUAGGAUUGACGUA
This 216-nucleotide ribosomal RNA is filed under the name Glomeromycotina sp. RNAcentral's name for it is "partial small subunit ribosomal RNA". The stretch from base 40 to 216 matches the Rfam family "Eukaryotic small subunit ribosomal RNA", at positions 686 to 864 of the family's 1831-position model. The record is from RNAcentral. Lineage: Eukaryota; Fungi; Glomeromycota.